GCUCCGAUGGUUUAGUGGUUAGAGCGUCUGCCUCGGAUGCGAGGAGGUCGUGGGUUCGAUCCUCAGUCGAGUCA
Molecule: non-coding RNA, 74 nt
Organism: Potamilus streckersoni
Lineage: Eukaryota; Metazoa; Mollusca; Bivalvia; Unionida; Unionidae
Source: the annotation of a GenBank genome assembly